This 852-nucleotide ribosomal RNA is filed under the name uncultured Flexibacteraceae bacterium. Its description in RNAcentral is "bacterial SSU rRNA". It matches the Rfam family "Bacterial small subunit ribosomal RNA", at positions 56 to 908 of the family's 1533-position model. The record is from RNAcentral. Lineage: Bacteria; Pseudomonadati; Bacteroidota; Cytophagia; Cytophagales; Cytophagaceae.
UGCAGUCGAACGGUAAGAAGAGUAGCAAUACUUUUCCUAGAGUGACGUACGGGUGCGUAACACGUAUGCAACCUACCUUGUACAGGAGUAUAGCUCGGGGAAACUCGAAUUAACCCUCCAUAAGAUCAUAGAGUAGCAUUACUUAGUGAUUAAAACUCAGGUGGUACAAGAUGGGCAUGCGUCUGAUUAGUUAGUUGGCGGGGUAACGGCCCACCAAGACGAUGAUCAGUAGGGGAACUGAGAGGUUGAUCUCCCACACUGGCACUGAGAUACGGGCCAGACUCCUACGGGAGGCAGCAGUAGGGAAUAUUGGUCAAUGGAUGCAAGUCUGAACCAGCCAUGCCGCGUGCAGGAAGAAGGCCUUCUGGGUUGUAAACUGCUUUUGCCAGGGGAUAAAAUUUCCAUGCGUGGAAAAUUGAAGGUACCUGGUGAAUAAGCCACGGCUAACUACGUGCCAGCAGCCGCGGUAAUACGUAGGUGGCAAGCGUUGUCCGGAUUUAUUGGGUUUAAAGGGUGCGUAGGCGGUCUAUUAAGUCAGUGGUGAAAUACUCCAGCUCAACUGGAGGGGUGCCAUUGAUACUGAUGGACUUGAGUCAAGUCGAGGUAGGCGGAAUUGACGGUGUAGCGGUGAAAUGCUUAGAUAUCGUCGAGAACACCAAUAGUGAAGACAGCUUACUAGGCUUAAACUGACGCUGAGGCACGAAAGUGUGGGGAUCAAACAGGAUUAGAUACCCUGGUAGUCCACACUGUAAACGUUGAUUACUCGCUGUUGGCGAUACACAGCCAGCGGCCAAGCGCAAGCGAUAAGUAAUCCACCUGGGGAGUACGCCGGCAACGGUGAAACUCAAAGGA